RNAcentral lists this ribosomal RNA (253 nucleotides) under uncultured bacterium. RNAcentral's name for it is "partial 16S ribosomal RNA". It matches the Rfam family "Bacterial small subunit ribosomal RNA", at positions 524 to 776 of the family's 1533-position model. The record is from RNAcentral.
UACGUAGGAGGCAAGCGUUGUCCGGAAUCACUGGGCGUAAAGCGCGUGUAGGCGGAUCGCUAAGUCUGUGGUGAAAGCGCCUGGCUUAACCGGGCGAGGUCCAUGGAAACUAGCGGUCUGGAGGCCGGUAGAGGGGGGUGGAAUUCCGGGUGUAGUGGUGAAAUGCGUAGAGAUCCGGAGGAACACCAGUGGCGAAGGCGACACGCUGGGCCGUACCUGACACUGAUGCGCGACAGCAUGGGGAGCAAACAGG